Molecule: ribosomal RNA, 382 nt
Filed under: uncultured bacterium
Lineage: Bacteria
Description: bacterial SSU rRNA
Rfam family: Bacterial small subunit ribosomal RNA
Source: RNAcentral
AUUGAACGCUGGCGGCAUGCCUUACACAUGCAAGUCGAACGGCAGCGGACCUUCGGGUGCCGGCGAGUGGCGAACGGGUGAGUAAUAUAUCGGAACGUACCUUUCAGUGGGGAGUAACGUAGCGAAAGUUACGCUAAUACCGCAUAUUCUGUGAGCAGGAAAGCAGGGGAUCGCAAGACCUUGCGCUGAUUGAGCGGCCGAUAUCAGAUUAGCUAGUUGGUGAGGUAAAGGCUCACCAAGGCGACGAUCUGUAGCGGGUCUGAGAGGAUGAUCCGCCACGCUGGAACUGAGACACGGUCCAGACUCCUACGGGAGGCAGCAGUGGGGAAUUUUGGACAAUGGGCGCAAGCCUGAUCCAGCCAUGCCGCGUGAGUGAAGAAGG